Molecule: ribosomal RNA, 855 nt
Filed under: Triticum aestivum (bread wheat)
Lineage: Eukaryota; Viridiplantae; Streptophyta; Magnoliopsida; Poales; Poaceae
Description: partial small subunit ribosomal RNA
Source: RNAcentral
AUGCGUGUGAUUUCUUGUGCCUCUGUAGAUGAGUUACCAGAGAGUAUUGGCAACUGGAAGCAUCUUCGGUACCUUGAAAUCUGCAGAGCUGGUCUUCUCAUGAAAAGGCUUCCUUCAACUUUGUGUUGGCUAUAUCAUCUGCAGAUUUUAUAUGCCAAGAAAUGCAAGCUAGAAAACUUGCCCGAUGACUUUGGUAAGUUGACUAGUUUGCAGAAAUUCGAAUCAGAUGGAUUAACAUAUUAUGCUGGGGGUCAAAUGACUUUUGAUCUAGAAAAAUGUGAGGAGGGAAAACGUAUAAGUUUAAUAAAGAAACUUAAUCAGUUUCGCGGACACUUGAAGAUAGCUAAUGGUGGCAUGCUAAGUAAGGAUCAGGCAGCAGAAGCUGAACUAAAGAAUAAGAAAUAUCUUGAUGAGUUGACACUGAAUAUGAAUUCACAGAGGUCUCAAACCAUCCAGGAGAAUGUGAUAGAAGUGCUUGAAGUUCUGCAACCUCCUAUCAGUCUCAAGUCUCUGUUGCUCCAGAAUUAUGCUGGUGUCUCACUCCCAAGCUGGCUUUUGCCACAAAAUUUGCCAAGCUUAAAAUCACUUACUUUUGCAGGUUGUUUUGAACUCAAGAGCAUAUCAUAUCCCGUGAUCUCACAGGGCAUAAACUUAAAUGAGAUACCUGCAGUUGGUAUUUUCCUCUCCCUGGCAGAUGUAACCAUUGAUGGGUGCAGGAAUAUAUCAAGCCUCGAACAGUUUCUAUGCUCAGAUUAUGUGCCAGCCAUCAAGAAAAUAAGAAUCGAACAUUGUGAGAUGUUAGCAUCAGUACCAGCUCACCUUACUUCACACGGGGAAGGCGCGGGUGAGGGAUAG